This 467-nucleotide ribosomal RNA is filed under the name uncultured bacterium. RNAcentral's name for it is "partial 16S ribosomal RNA". It matches the Rfam family "Bacterial small subunit ribosomal RNA", at positions 29 to 507 of the family's 1533-position model. The record is from RNAcentral.
ACGAACGCUGGCGGCGUGCUUAACACAUGCAAGUCGAACGGAAAGGCCCUGCUUUUGUGGGGUGCUCGAGUGGCGAACGGGUGAGUAACACGUGAGUAACCUGCCCUUGACUUUGGGAUAACUUCAGGAAACUGGGGCUAAUACCGGAUAGGAGCUCCUGCUGCAUGGUGGGGGUUGGAAAGUUUCGGCGGUUGGGGAUGGACUCGCGGCUUAUCAGCUUGUUGGUGGGGUAGUGGCUUACCAAGGCUUUGACGUGUAGCCGGCCUGAGAGGGUGACCGGCCACAUUGGGACUGAGAUACGGCCCAGACUCCUACGGGAGGCAGCAGUGGGGAAUAUUGCACAAUGGGCGGAAGCCUGAUGCAGCAACGCCGCGUGCGGGAUGACGGCCUUCGGGUUGUAAACCGCUUUCGCCUGUGACGAAGCGUGAGUGACGGUAAUGGGUAAAGAAGCACCGGCUAACUACGUG